GACGAACGCUGGCGGCGUGCUUAACACAUGCAAGUCGAACGGUGACCCAGGGCUUGCCCUGGUGAUCAGUGGCGAACGGGUGAGUAACACGUGGGCAACCUGCCCCUGACUUCGGGAUAACUCCUCGAAAGAGGAGCUAAUACCGGAUACGACCACUUCGGACAUCCGAUGGUGGUGGAAAGUUUUUCGGUCAGGGAUGGGCCCGCGGCCUAUCAGCUAGUUGGUGGGGUAAUGGCCUACCAAGGCGACGACGGGUAGCCGGCCUGAGAGGGCGACCGGCCACACUGGGACUGAGACACGGCCCAGACUCCUACGGGAGGCAGCAGUGGGGAAUAUUGCGCAAUGGGCAAGGCCUGACGCAGCGACGCCGCGUGAGGGAUGAAGGCCUCGGUGUAACCGUACUUCUAGCAGGACGAAG
RNAcentral lists this ribosomal RNA (418 nucleotides) under uncultured bacterium. Its description in RNAcentral is "bacterial SSU rRNA". It matches the Rfam family "Bacterial small subunit ribosomal RNA", at positions 28 to 450 of the family's 1533-position model. The record is from RNAcentral.